GCCCGGUUAGCUCAAUCGGUAGAGCGUGAGACUCUUACGGGCAGCCGCGCGAUCUCAAGGUUGCGGGUUCGACCCCCGCAUCGGGCU
Molecule: non-coding RNA, 87 nt
Organism: Coniochaeta sp. PMI_546
Lineage: Eukaryota; Fungi; Ascomycota; Sordariomycetes; Coniochaetales; Coniochaetaceae
Source: the annotation of a GenBank genome assembly